UUGAACAGAGGAAGACACAGUAGUGCCAAAUCUUCAGACCUUUCUUCUUUGGCUAUGUUAUCAGGUGAAUCUGGUAUAAGGGCCUUGGUGCUUGUGGAAACUGUACGUGUGCUUGUCCAUUGAUAUCACACGACACCCAUCAACGCAACCAACAAACCCUAUCACGCCUUUGAUUUUGGGGAAUUGCAAACAUUGUGACAACGGAACCAAGAAAUGCAACAUCCAAACCCUAUCGCGCCUUCGAUUUUUGGGAAUUACAGAUACUAUGACAACGAAACCAAGAAAGAAAA
RNAcentral lists this long non-coding RNA (290 nucleotides) under Glycine max (soybean). RNAcentral describes it as "long non-coding RNA (GMAX_LNC002848)". Lineage: Eukaryota; Viridiplantae; Streptophyta; Magnoliopsida; Fabales; Fabaceae. The record is from RNAcentral.